RNAcentral lists this ribosomal RNA (500 nucleotides) under uncultured Myrionecta. RNAcentral describes it as "SSU rRNA". It matches the Rfam family "Eukaryotic small subunit ribosomal RNA", at positions 33 to 600 of the family's 1831-position model. The record is from RNAcentral. Lineage: Eukaryota; Ciliophora; Litostomatea; Cyclotrichida; Mesodiniidae.
AUGUUCUGAGAUAGCCAUGCACGUCUAGUACAAACUAAAUGAUGGUGAAACUGCAAAUGGCUCAUUACAACGGUUAUGAUGUACCCGGGAGUUCCGAUGGAUAUUUCCAGUAACACUAGAACUAAUACAUGUCCCUGCGUUUAUUAGUUUCGCACAGUCCGUCGCUGAGUCAUGGUAAACAGUUGAUCGACUCGACGUCCCGGAACAGUUUCCGCCCCAUCAGCUUCGAUGGUUGGGUAUUGGCCUACCAUUGCAACAACGGGUAACGAGGAAUUAGGGUUUGAUUUCGGAGAGGGAGCCUGAGAAACGGCUACCACAUCUACGGAUGGCAGCAGGCGCGCAAAUUACCCAAUGCAGACACUGUGAGGUAGUGACGAGAAAUAAUAAAGCGGGACUUCUGUUUCGCUAUUAUAAUGAGGAAUAACCAAAGGUCAUUCCGAUUAGCAACUGAUGGGAAAGUCUGGUGCCAGCAGCCGCGGUAAUACCAGCGUCAGUAGCAU